This is a small nucleolar RNA of Nothoprocta perdicaria, 71 nucleotides long. The record is from Ensembl. NCBI's taxonomy places the organism in Eukaryota, Metazoa, Chordata, Aves, Tinamiformes, Tinamidae.
CCGCCGUGAUGGCAACGUUUUUCGUCAGCAGCAUCUCACAGUGUGAAUGGUGACAGCUGUGCUCUGAGCGG